GAUGAACGCUGGCGGCGUGCCUAAUACAUGCAAGUCGAGCGAACAGACGAGGAGCUUGCUCCUCUGACGUUAGCGGCGGACGGGUGAGUAACACGUGUAUAACCUACCUAUAAGACUGGGAUAACUUCGGGAAACCGGAGCUAAUACCGGAUAAUAUAUUGAACCGCAUGGUUCAAUAGUGAAAGACGGUUUUGCUGUCACUUAUAGAUGGAUCCGCGCCGCAUUAGCUAGUUGGUAAGGUAACGGCUUACCAAGGCAACGAUGCGUAGCCGACCUGAGAGGGUGAUCGGCCACACUGGAACUGAGACACGGUCCAGACUCCUACGGGAGGCAGCAGUAGGGAAUCUUCCGCAAUGGGCGAAAGCCUGACGGAACAACGCCGCGUGAGUGAUGAAGGUCUUCGGAUCGUAAAACUCUGUUAUUAGGGAAGAACAAAUGUGUAAGUAACUAUGCACGUCUUGACGGUACCUAAUCAGAAAGCCACGGCUAACUACGUG
RNAcentral lists this ribosomal RNA (497 nucleotides) under uncultured bacterium. RNAcentral's name for it is "partial 16S ribosomal RNA". It matches the Rfam family "Bacterial small subunit ribosomal RNA", at positions 28 to 507 of the family's 1533-position model. The record is from RNAcentral.